GCAAAAUAGUACCGUAACUUCGGGAGAAGGUACGCUGUUGAUGGCGAAGGAUUUACUCCGUAAGCUAUCGGCAGCCUCAGAAACUAGGCCGCUGCAACUGUUUAUUAAAAACACAGCACUCUGCAAACACGAAAGUGGACGUAUAGGGUGUGAUGCCUGCCCGGUGCUGGAAGGUUAAUUGAUGGGGUUAGCGAAAGCGAAGCUCUUGAUCGAAGCCCCAGUAAACGGCGGCCGUAACUAUAACGGUCCUAAGGUAGCGAAAUUCCUUGUCGGGUAAGUUCCGACCUGCACGAAUGGCAUAAUGAUGGCGGCGCUGUCUCCAGCAGAGACUCAGUGAAAUCGAAAUCGCGGUGAAGAUGCCGUGUACCCGCGGCUAGACGGAAAGACCCCGUGAACCUUUACUGCAGCUUUGCAUUGAACUUUGACCUUACUUGUGUAGGAUAGGUGGGAGGCUUUGAAGCUCGGACGCCAGUUCGAGUGGAGCCAUCCUUGAAAUACCACCCUGGUAAUGCCGAGGUUCUAACCCAGAUCCGUUAUCCGGAUCGGGGACAGUGUAUGGUGGGUAGUUUGACUGGGGCGGUCUCCUCCUAAAGAGUAACGGAGGAGUACGAAGGUGCGCUCAGCGUGGUCGGAAAUCACGCAAUGAGUAUAAAGGCAAAAGCGCGCUUAACUGCGAGACCGACAAGUCGAGCAGGUACGAAAGUAGGUCUUAGUGAUCCGGUGGUUCUGUAUGGAAGGGCCAUCGCUCAACGGAUAAAAGGUACUCUGGGGAUAACAGGCUGAUACCGCCCAAGAGUUCAUAUCGACGGCGGUGUUUGGCACCUCGAUGUCGGCUCAUCUCAUCCUGGGGCUGAAGCAGGUCCCAAGGGUAUGGCUGUUCGCCAUUUAAAGAGGUACGCGAGCUGGGUUUAGAACGUCGUGAGACAGUUCGGUCCCUAUCUACCGUGGGCGUUGGUGACUUGAGAGGAUCUGCUUCUAGUACGAGAGGACCGAAGUGGACGUACCUCUGGUGUUCGGGUUGUCACGCCAGUGGCACUGCCCGGUAGCUAUGUACGGACGGGAUAACCGCUGAAAGCAUCUAGGCGGGAAGCCUACCUUAAGAUAAGGUCUCCCUGGGGGUUUAACCCCCCUAAAGAGCCGUUAGAGACCAUGACGUUGAUAGGUUUGGUGUGGAAGUGCGGUGACGCAUGAAGCUAACGAAUACUAAUUGCUCGUGAGGCUUGACUAU
This 1228-nucleotide ribosomal RNA is filed under the name metagenome. RNAcentral describes it as "bacterial LSU rRNA". It matches the Rfam family "Bacterial large subunit ribosomal RNA", at positions 1717 to 2925 of the family's 2925-position model. The record is from RNAcentral.